Molecule: ribosomal RNA, 459 nt
Filed under: uncultured bacterium
Lineage: Bacteria
Description: partial 16S ribosomal RNA
Rfam family: Bacterial small subunit ribosomal RNA
Source: RNAcentral
CCUACGGGAGGCAGCAGUGAGGAAUAUUGGUCAAUGGUCGGGAGACUGAACCAGCCAAGCCGCGUGAGGGAUGAUGGUACAGAGUAUCGUAAACCUCUUUUGUCAGGGAACAAAGGCGGGGACGUGUCCCCGGCUGAGUGUACCUGAAGAAAAAGCAUCGGCUAACUCCGUGCCAGCAGCCGCGGUAAUACGGAGGAUGCGAGCGUUAUCCGGAUUUAUGGGGUUUAAAGGGUGCGCGGGCGGGCUUGUAAGUCAGCGGUAAAAGCCCGGGGCUCAACCCCGGCCCGCCGUUGAAACUGGCAGUCUCGAGUUGGAGAGAAGUAGGCGGAAUGCGCGGUGUAGCGGUGAAAUGCAUAGAUAUCGCGCAGAACUCCGAUUGCGAAGGCAGCAUGCCGGCUCCACACUGACGCUGAGGCACGAAAGCGUGGGUAUCGAACAGGAUUAGAUACCCCAGUAGUC